UCUUGACCUCAAAUCAGGUAGGAUUACCCGCUGAACUUAAGCAUAUCAAUA
Molecule: ribosomal RNA, 51 nt
Filed under: Hodophilus aff. foetens PBM3375
Lineage: Eukaryota; Fungi; Basidiomycota; Agaricomycetes; Agaricales; Clavariaceae
Also listed under: 1 other name
Description: partial large subunit ribosomal RNA
Source: RNAcentral